GACGAACGCUGGCGGCGUGCUUAACACAUGCAAGUCGAACGGAAAGGCCCUGCUUUUGUGGGGUGCUCGAGUGGCGAACGGGUGAGUAACACGUGAGUAACCUGCCCUUGACUUUGGGAUAACUUCAGGAAACUGGGGCUAAUACCGGAUAGGAGCUCCUGCUACAUGGUGGGGGUUGGAAAGUUUCGGCGGUUGGGGAUGGACUCGCGGCUUAUCAGCUUGUUGGUGGGGUAGUGGCUUACCAAGGCUUUGACGGGUAGCCGGCCUGAGAGGGUGACCGGCCACAUUGGGACUGAGAUACGGCCCAGACUCCUACGGGAGGCAGCAGUGGGGAAUAUUGCACAAUGGGCGGAAGCCUGAUGCAGCAACGCCGCGUGCGGGAUGACGGCCUUCGGGUUGUAAACCGCUUUCGCCUGUGACGAAGCGUGAGUGACGGUAAUGGGGAAAGAAGCACCGGCUAACUACGU
Molecule: ribosomal RNA, 467 nt
Filed under: uncultured bacterium
Lineage: Bacteria
Description: partial 16S ribosomal RNA
Rfam family: Bacterial small subunit ribosomal RNA
Source: RNAcentral